GAUGAACGCUAGCGGCAGGCUUAACACAUGCAAGUCGAGGGGUAGAAGCAGCUUGCUGCUUUGAGACCGGCGCACGGGUGCGUAACGCGUAUGCAAUCUACCUUUUACAGAGGGAUAGCCCAGAGAAAUUUGGAUUAAUACCUCAUAGUAUGUGAGAAUCGCAUGGUUUUCACAUUAAAGUUCCAACGGUAAAGAUGAGCAUGCGUCCCAUUAGCUAGAUGGUAAGGUAACGGCUUACCAUGGCGACGAUGGUAGGGUCCUGAGAGGGAGAUCCCCACACUGGUACUGAGACACGGACCAGACUCCUACGGGAGGCAGCAGUGAGG
This 326-nucleotide ribosomal RNA is filed under the name uncultured bacterium. Its description in RNAcentral is "bacterial SSU rRNA". It matches the Rfam family "Bacterial small subunit ribosomal RNA", at positions 28 to 359 of the family's 1533-position model. The record is from RNAcentral.